Molecule: long non-coding RNA, 436 nt
Filed under: Anas platyrhynchos platyrhynchos (common mallard)
Lineage: Eukaryota; Metazoa; Chordata; Aves; Anseriformes; Anatidae
Description: lncRNA (ENSAPLG00000028743.1)
Source: RNAcentral
AUCAUAAAUCAGUGGCAAAUGUGCAGAUUUGGACUGUCCAAAGUUUUACCUUGAGAAUAUUUUCCUGAAGCAUUCCAAAACACUGAAAUCCUGGGAUGGCAAGAAAAAAAAAUCAAGUAAAAGAUUCACCCAUUACUGAUCUGCAGACGGCAGUGGUGAUUUCUCUGUGUUGCCACCCUUCAGAAGCUAAUGAGGUAAAUCGUAUAACUGGACAGAGUCUGUUAGAAAACAAACUGUACUCAAAAUCUGUUAGCAAACUUAAUUUCGAUAGGUUUCUAAGAUUUUAAAAUCUUUUUUCUCAAAGCAUAAAUGCAACCAAAGGUUUUCUUUUAAAUAACAUUUCUGUUCUCUCAAGCAAAUACCCUUUUUGAGUCUCAGAAUGCUGGCACAGCCAUCUUAGCUUGACACUGAGGCAAUAAAUCAAAAGGGUUGGACA